CAGGUCACGUAACGGAGUUAAAAUGGGACUUUCAUGAGCAGGAACAAGAACGAUAUGAGGCAGAUAUUAAGUCGCUCAUAAGGUUUUUAAAUGUUCCAAGAGAAGUUAGUUCCCUCAAGUUUAAAGUGCUCUGUAGUGAGUUCCAGGCAGCAGGUGCAAAAUACAUG
This is a long non-coding RNA of Myripristis murdjan (pinecone soldierfish), 167 nucleotides long. RefSeq lists it as uncharacterized. NCBI's taxonomy places the organism in Eukaryota, Metazoa, Chordata, Actinopteri, Holocentriformes, Holocentridae. The record is from RefSeq and is a predicted model, not a curated record. The transcript has 3 exons.